Molecule: ribosomal RNA, 444 nt
Filed under: uncultured bacterium
Lineage: Bacteria
Description: SSU rRNA
Rfam family: Bacterial small subunit ribosomal RNA
Source: RNAcentral
AGAGCGAACGCUGGCGGCAGGCCUAAUACAUGCAAGUCGAACGGAUCCUUCGGGAUUAGUGGCGGACGGGUGAGUAACACGUGGGAACGUACCCUUUGGUUCGGAACAACUCAGGGAAACUUGAGCUAAUACCGAAUGUGCCCUUCGGGGAAAAGAUUUAUCGCCAUUGGAGCGGCCCGCGUCUGAUUAGCUAGUUGGUAGGGUAAAGGCCUACCAAGGCUACGAUCAGUAGCUGGUCUGAGAGGAUGAUCAGCCACACUGGGACUGAGACACGGCCCAGACUCCUACGGGAGGCAGCAGUAGGGAAUCUUGCGCAAUGGGCGAAAGCCUGACGCAGCCAUGCCGCGUGAAUGAUGAAGGUCUUAGGAUUGUAAAAUUCUUUCAGCGGGACGAUAAUGACGGUACCCGCAGAAGACGCCCGGCUAACUUCGUGCCAGCAGCCGC